GGUGUUUCACCAGCUUGCGGUAGAAACAGUUUCGAGUUUUUAGUUAAGGUGAGGAAACUUCAGAAGCCUGUUUUUCUCUCUUUCAGUUCAACAGUCUAUUUUGGGGAUUUUAAGCCAUGCUGUGCUUGGUUGAGCUGAGCCUGUGUGGCAUUUGUCUAGGAGUAGGGGACUCUAAUGGCAGUUACAAUCCCACAUUUCAGAUGCCAUGUACCAUCACCAAUCAGCAUUACGGAACUGCCUCAGUGACGGCACAGGAUCCUUCCACGUAGACUCUGCCCACAUACCUGAACCCACCCGCAGCAAUGGCUCUGCCCUGCCCUCAUCCAAGCUCUACACAAGUGACUGAUAGUUCCGCUCAAAGGAGUGAUGGGUCAACAUUGUUAGUCAUGUAAUCUUCUUACUAUUGAAUAAAAGUACUCCAGAUUUACCUUUAUGUUGCCGUGACACUUAAGGUGCUUUGCAGCUCUGAAAGAUCCAAAGAAUCAAUAAACUGAAGCUGAAAAAUUUAUCCAUG
Astatotilapia calliptera (eastern happy) is the source of this 514-nucleotide long non-coding RNA. NCBI's taxonomy places the organism in Eukaryota, Metazoa, Chordata, Actinopteri, Cichliformes, Cichlidae. The record is from Ensembl.